CCUACGGGAGGCAGCAGUGGGGAAUAUUGGACAAUGGGGGAAACCCUGAUCCAGCCAUGCCGCGUGUGUGAAGAAGGCCUUCGGGUUGUAAAGCACUUUAAGCGAGGAGGAAGGUUCGUUACUUAAUACGUAACGGAAUUGACGUUACUCGCAGAAUAAGCACCGGCUAACUCUGUGCCAGCAGCCGCGGUAAU
Molecule: ribosomal RNA, 194 nt
Filed under: uncultured bacterium
Lineage: Bacteria
Description: partial 16S ribosomal RNA
Rfam family: Bacterial small subunit ribosomal RNA
Source: RNAcentral